This 482-nucleotide ribosomal RNA is filed under the name uncultured bacterium. RNAcentral's name for it is "partial 16S ribosomal RNA". It matches the Rfam family "Bacterial small subunit ribosomal RNA", at positions 29 to 508 of the family's 1533-position model. The record is from RNAcentral.
AUUGAACGCUGGCGGCAUGCUUUACACAUGCAAGUCGAACGGUAACAGGCCGCAAGGUGCUGACGAGUGGCGAACGGGUGAGUAAUGCAUCGGAACGUGCCCAGUCGUGGGGGAUAACUACUCGAAAGAGUAGCUAAUACCGCAUACGAUCUAUGGAUGAAAGCGGGGGACCGUAAGGCCUCGCGCGAUUGGAGCGGCCGAUGUCAGAUUAGGUAGUUGGUGGGGUAAAGGCUCACCAAGCCAACGAUCUGUAGCUGGUCUGAGAGGACGACCAGCCACACGGGGACUGAACGCAGGACCAGCCUCCUAGGGGGGCCAGGAGGGGGGAUUUUGGAAAAAGGGGCGCAGCCCUGACCCAGCAUGCCCGGGGGAGGGAAAAGGCCUUUGGGUUUUAAACCUGUUUUGUACCGAAAGAAAAGGUCUCGGUUAAAUCCCGGGGUAAAAGGGGGGACCGAAAAAAAAGGACCGGGCCACGGCCGUCC